CUUCUUCUUUCUGCCUAAAAGCAGGCCACGUUUCCCUUUGUAAAGGUAACAUAAAUUUCCACUUGUAAAGGAAUUGUGAAGUGGUGCCUCUCUCCAAUACCAGAAGAGGAGAAUAACUGUUAAUCACUGGAGAUGACUUAUCACUGGAGACAUUACCAAGGGAACAUGGAGACUAAGAAGUACUUUCUCCUUGAAUUGAUUUGUAAGUGGAACUUUCCAACAGCAAAACAGCUGGAUGUUUGUGCUUUUAAAAUCUGGACUCUGGACUUGAUCUUCAGAAGAACAGGAAGCAAGGUGUUUGCACUGAGUUUGACAUGCACAGUAGUGAUUAAUUGACUUGUCAGUGCUGGGCUUUCUUGCCUCUAAGGUCCUGCCUCUUGCUUCUUUUGCCCUGGUGUUAAUCCCAUGCAGCUGGUGCAGAAACAGAACCAAGAGCUUGGAAGUCACAAGGUGGCGCCACCCCAACUAGGACUGUUCUUUCAAAGCCCAGUGCCCAGUUGGUGAAAUGACCCACCAGCAUUGCACAGGAGAGCCCCAGAGAGAUAUGUCCAGGAUAUACGAUCAGUCUGGUGUUCUGAGCCUUAAGGUAUGGUUGCAGCGAUGACGCAUUGCAGAACCAAAGGAAUUUGUCCUUAGGAUAGACCUUCCAAAGGCCGAUCAACAGCGACAAAAAACAAGCUUUCAAACCAACAAGAGAAGACAUGAUUGCAGUGCCUUCAUAACGACAUUGCUUUAUUGAUGAAAUGCAAGGAAAACUACGUUAGAAUCUACUGAUUCUCUUUGAGAUCUAAUAAUACGCUUUAUUCAAAUCUUAUUCACAAACCACUUCCUCCACGGGUCUUUCACAGGAACUGAAAUUGGCCAGUUACAAACAGAAUUGGUUCUACUGUCCUUUGAAAUCACAGACGCAGACAUGUUUUAGAAUACAAAAGACACCAAGCUUUCUUUGGGAAACACGUCCUGUUUGGAAAAAAAAAAACUCACUUCUUAACAAAAAUUGAAAGCACGCCUAACUUCAGAUUUAUUUGAUUACAGAGUCUUUCUCAGGGCUAAUCAGUUUUAGAACAGGUUCCUACUGGCACCAGAGAGCCAAUAAAAAGUCCAGGAGAGAAGAGGUAACACAACAACUUAGGGAAACAAGGUUGUUUAUUUUUUUAAACAGUAUUCAUAUUUAUACCGCUGAGUGAAAUUAUUUAUACACACCCUGUAGGUUUUGCAUCUUCAGAAUUUGUUAGCAUUCAGAGGAUGAUAAACUGUACCUUGGACUUAUUUGUGAAAAAAUAUGUAGAUGACACCUGGUGGAGUUUAUUGAAACUAUUAUUCAGGUGUAGAGCCAGAGAAACUCAGCAGAAAGGGAAGCCGGGUUUUUAGAUGUCACAAUGGAUGGUUAAAAAUUUCAGCUUUGGGGCAACAUUAUAAUACUCAAAUUAUUUGCCUCUGGUCCUCAUUUUCUCCAUCUCUAGCAUCGGUUCUGAACUCAGGGUUUUCUGUAAAUAUUAAAUGGCAUAAUGCAUGCUGAGAGAUCUGUGUGGGCCCUCCCAGGGUUAAGAAUCCAAUAAAUGUUAGCUCAUGUAUCAUCAUUAUUACAGAGAA
Homo sapiens (human) is the source of this 1593-nucleotide long non-coding RNA. RefSeq lists it as uncharacterized. The record is from RefSeq and is marked validated. The transcript is spliced from 3 exons. Lineage: Eukaryota; Metazoa; Chordata; Mammalia; Primates; Hominidae.